GGCCCGAGUUGUAAUUUGGAGAAGGUGCUUCGGGUGCGACCGCGGUCCAAGUCCCAUGGAACUGGGCGUCACAGAGGGUGAGAAUCCCGUACGUGGCCGAGAGGUCUAUCCCGUGCGAAGCCCUUUCGACGAGUCGAGUUGUUUGGGAAUGCAGCUCUAAAUGGGUGGUAAACUUCAUCUAAAGCUAAAUAUCGGCCGGAGACCGAUAGCGCACAAGUAGAGUGAUCGAAAGGUGAAAAGAACUUUGAAAAGAGAGUUAAACAGUACGUGAAAUUGUUGAAAGGGAAGCGCUUGCAACCAGACUCGCGCGCGGGGUUCAGCCGUCCCUCGGGGUGGUGUACUCCCCGUGCGCGGGCCAGCAUCAGCUUGGGCGGUCGGAUAAAGGUUCGGGGAACGUAGCUCCCUCCGGGGAGUGUUAUAGCCCCGGGCGUCAUGCGGCCAGCCCGGGCUGAGGAUCGCGCUCCGCUAGGAUGCUGGCG
RNAcentral lists this ribosomal RNA (479 nucleotides) under Diorygma antillarum. RNAcentral describes it as "eukaryotic LSU rRNA". It matches the Rfam family "Eukaryotic large subunit ribosomal RNA", at positions 135 to 631 of the family's 3401-position model. Lineage: Eukaryota; Fungi; Ascomycota; Lecanoromycetes; Ostropales; Graphidaceae. The record is from RNAcentral.